AAACGNAUACAUACUCAGCGGGCGAACGGGUGAGUAACACGUGUGGUAAUCUUCCUCCGAGUGUGGGAUAACUUUCCGAAAGGGGAUCUAAUACUGGAUAGUCCCGAGAGGUCAUAGGAUCGGGCGGGUAAACAUUUAUUGCUCGUGAGAUGAGCCCGCGCCCUAUUAUCUAGUUGAGUGACGUAAUGGCUCUCCACUGCGACAAUCGGUACCCGGACUGAGAGGAUGAUCAGCCACGUUGGAACUGAGACACCGUCCAUACUCCUAGCUGAGGCACCUGUUUUGAAUGUUGCUCACUGGCGGCAA
This 306-nucleotide ribosomal RNA is filed under the name Leptospira borgpetersenii. Its description in RNAcentral is "bacterial SSU rRNA". It matches the Rfam family "Bacterial small subunit ribosomal RNA", at positions 77 to 380 of the family's 1533-position model. The record is from RNAcentral. Lineage: Bacteria; Pseudomonadati; Spirochaetota; Leptospiria; Leptospirales; Leptospiraceae.